GCCAUGCCGGCGCCUCCUGUGUGCUUGGCGCACAGUCAGUGUUGCAUCCCACAGCCUCACAGGGGACCCCACAGGGGACCCGCCCAGUUAAGACUCCCGCGCAUUUGCUGGAUGCACCAGUGCAGGAAGGAAUGAGCUGGUAGAGGAAUGAAGAGUGGCAGGAGACCCUAGCAGAGGCCCUAACCCAGCCCAGGAGGGUUGGGGCCGCUUCCUGCAGGAAGGGAGUCUUCCCCGGAUUCCUGAAGCCUGCGGACGAGGCAGCCGGCAAGGUGGCCGGGCGGGAGAAACUGCCAGCCAGGCCUGUGUGAAGGCCUCUUUAAGCACGAGAGGACUUGGUGCCUACGGGACGGUCAUUGGGUCAUCCAAAACAGAGACUGACCCUCUGCCAGUUUCCUUCGCUGGGCAUUUUCGGGACAGGCCUGGGUGCUCCGUCUGUGCUGCACCCUCGGUUUACGAUGGUGGCUCCUGGGUCAGAUCAGCAGCCCUCUGAGGAGGGAAGGGGAGUCAAAGCCAGGCAAAGAGGCCACCCCGCGUCAGGGGACCUCUUGGAGUUAGGCCUGGAUCUGAGCUGAUCACCGUCCCCUGGGGGAUGUUGUCUACCCGGGAGCAGAGCCCCACGCCUCUGGGCCUAGCAGGCCGCUCCACUCCAGGUCUGCCCUUUGAACCCUCCUUUGUCAGACAGGGGCUCCUGUGUCCCCCCCCCCCCAC
RNAcentral lists this long non-coding RNA (708 nucleotides) under Marmota monax (woodchuck). Lineage: Eukaryota; Metazoa; Chordata; Mammalia; Rodentia; Sciuridae. The record is from RNAcentral.